Molecule: ribosomal RNA, 406 nt
Filed under: uncultured bacterium
Lineage: Bacteria
Description: partial 16S ribosomal RNA
Rfam family: Bacterial small subunit ribosomal RNA
Source: RNAcentral
AUUGAACGCUGGCGGCAGGCCUAACACAUGCAAGUCGAACGAGUGGCGGACGGGUGAGUAAUGUCUGGGAAACUGCCUGAUGGAGGGGGAUAACUACUGGAAACGGUAGCUAAUACCGCAUACCAUCAGAUGUGUCCAUAUGGGAUUAGCUAGUAGGUGGGGUAACGGCUCACCUAGGCGACGAUGCCUAGCUGGUCUGAGAGGAUGACCAGCCACACUGGAACUGAGACACGGUCCCGACUCCUAAGGGAGGCAGCAGUGGGGAAUAUUGCGCAAUGGGCGCAAGCCUGAUGCAGCCAUGCCGCGUGUAUGAAGAAGGCCUUCGGGUUGUAAAGUACUUUCAGCGGGGAGGCGUUACCCGAAGAAGAAGCACCGGCUAACUCCGUGCCAGCAGCCGCGGUAAUAC